Molecule: unclassified non-coding RNA, 529 nt
Filed under: uncultured Thiotrichales bacterium
Lineage: Bacteria; Pseudomonadati; Pseudomonadota; Gammaproteobacteria; Thiotrichales
Description: partial 16S-23S ribosomal RNA intergenic spacer
Rfam family: tRNA (bases 72-145)
Source: RNAcentral
CCUCCUUAAAAGAAGUGUGAAUCUUUCGUUUUAAGCGCCCACACAAUCUACUUAAUCAGUUCACCGACCGCGGGUCUGUAGCUCAGUUGGUUAGAGCGCACCCCUGAUAAGGGUGAGGUCGGAAGUUCAACUCUUCCCAGACCCACCAGGUUGCCUCCAAACCAGAGGCUUACCAAUCGGGGCCAUAGCUCAGCUGGGAGAGCACCUGCUUUGCAAGCAGGGGGUCGGCGGUUCGAUCCCGCCUGGCUCCACCAGGCGCUAAACGGCGGCGGCGAAUUACCGCCGCCGUUUAUCUCCUGGUGGAAGUACCAAGGGACGUUCUUUUACAAUUUGGGUAGUGAUAUACGACGGUGAAGUCAGGACAUCGUUUGACGUCCAGACUUUACUGGGUAUGCCAGCAUUUAUUAUGGUAGUAGUUGUGGUCUCAUUAAGAGCAGUCUUUUUGGGGUUAUAUGAUCAAGCGACUAAGCGCGCAUGGUGGAUGCCUUGGCGGCAAGAAGCGAUGAAGGACGUGGUAGCCUGCGAUAAA